This is a long non-coding RNA of Passer domesticus (house sparrow), 487 nucleotides long. RefSeq lists it as uncharacterized. Lineage: Eukaryota; Metazoa; Chordata; Aves; Passeriformes; Passeridae. The transcript is spliced from 4 exons. The record is from RefSeq and is a predicted model, not a curated record.
CUGUGGGAUGUCAGGCUUGCCAGGUGCCAAACACUCUAUAAAAGCUAUUAGCAGUUCUAAUCACCAUACCAAGCAGCAAUGCCCACAGGAUUUGCAUGAUGCCUUGAACAAUCUCAGACUAUCUCUCCGUCUCCUUAUGGAAAAGACCUUGAAGUCCAACUUGAAGUUUUGUCUUCUGAACUGGGAAACUUAUGGACGUUGUUGUAGGGAGGAAGGUGGAAGAGAAGGGCAUGAAACCCCUUGAAAAGAAAGAACAGUGAUCUCUACCCUGCGUCUCUGGCCUGUUGGCAUCAGUGCAGGGAACCUCCUUGCUCCGAGACCCAGCAAAGGGCCCUUGUUUCCAAGGAGGCUUCCGAGAACUACUGGAAUCUGGAAACUACUGCUGGACCACCCAAACACAGAAUAACAGCUGAUGGCUGUUGUACAGCCAAUGGAUGAAGCACACCUGCUGAUCUGGAGAUUUUCAUGGCAAAGAUGAAUUAAACAU